Long non-coding RNA from Nomascus leucogenys (northern white-cheeked gibbon), 119 nucleotides. RefSeq lists it as uncharacterized. The record is from RefSeq and is a predicted model, not a curated record. Lineage: Eukaryota; Metazoa; Chordata; Mammalia; Primates; Hylobatidae. The transcript is spliced from 3 exons.
UGACCAACACUUCCAAUACUACGUUGAACAGGAGUGGUAAGAGAGGGCAUUUUUGCAUUGUGUCAGUUUUCAAGCGGAAUGCUUCCAGCUUUUGCCCAUUCAGGUAUUCAGGGAACAAA